Molecule: long non-coding RNA, 1099 nt
Organism: Capsicum annuum
Lineage: Eukaryota; Viridiplantae; Streptophyta; Magnoliopsida; Solanales; Solanaceae
Exons: 4
Source: RefSeq, a predicted model, not a curated record
CAUAGUUGUUAUGACGAUAUUGAAAUUUGACACACUGUAUUUAACUCAUAUAUACAAGCCGCUUGGGAGCAGCUAAGCGUUAUCCUGCCAGCUUGUCUCCGCUAUUUUCGGAUAGGCGUGCACAUAGCCUCAGAUUACAACACCAAACUCCUAUCUCAUUUUCAAUUUAAUCUCUGAAAAAAGGGCCCUUAAUCUAAUCAUCUUCUUCAUCGCUGAGCUCUUCGUCUUCUCUGGUGCGUUCAUAGUUGUUGCUGCUUUGUGAUUUGUUUUACACGUAGGCGGUAAACAAAAAAGGUAUUAAAUUGCCCCUCACGAAGGAGCCAUGUUGACGCAGGUCUUACCUUCAACCAUUUCCAACUACUGUUGCAGCCUAACCUAAAGGAGCAGUAAACACAAUGUUACAACACAGAUUGUGAGGCUUGUGUGACAGCAAUUGAAGAUGCACUUAGAGAGAGACAAAAGACCAAUGGCCAUGCGUCAAAUGUUUCUCCAAUUGCUGAAAAAUUGUUCGUCUCAAUUAGGGCAGGUGGUGCAGGGCAAGGUAUUGCUUUUGGCGCCAAAAACAGAGGGGUAAGGGUUGUAAUAUUCAACCACAAAUACGGUAAUGCCUCCUAUCUCCCUAAGGAUUAUGGAUAUGUCAUCUUUUACUCUUUAUUCAUUCAUGUCUCCUUUCAUUUAUUUAAAUUUUGUGUUAAAAAAAGGGAGCAAAGCUCUGGCUGCAGCAGUAUCCGAUGAAGCUCUGCCAUAUGAACAUCUGAAUGAUUUCUGCCAUGAGUUGCGGAUGAUUCUUGCCAAUGCUUCUACUGUGACAUGCAGCCAAAGUCUGUUUAUGCCAAUAUAAUAUAUUGGUUGGACUUCUUUAUCUGCUAACUAAUUAUUCAUGGAAACUCAUAUGAUGAAAAAUAAAAGGAUUGGUCCAUGUGAAGAAAGUUUCAGAAGAUGUUUCGCCAACUUCAAUUUGUAAUAGAAAAUUGUUAGCCAGCUUUCUUUUAUCAUGUGAUGUAUUUGAAUUCCAACUUGUAGCUCUUUUAUCAUCGUUAUGAACUCUUUAUUAGAGUGUUUAUAUUAUUGAUGAAUGAAAAUCUACUUUGGAGAGUAA